RNAcentral lists this non-coding RNA (30 nucleotides) under Mus musculus (house mouse). Lineage: Eukaryota; Metazoa; Chordata; Mammalia; Rodentia; Muridae. The record is from RNAcentral.
UGCGGGUUGUGCCUGGGUACAGUGCUGUUU